RNAcentral lists this transfer RNA (79 nucleotides) under Mycolicibacterium obuense. RNAcentral describes it as "tRNA-Ser". Lineage: Bacteria; Bacillati; Actinomycetota; Actinomycetes; Mycobacteriales; Mycobacteriaceae. The record is from RNAcentral.
CCAGAUCGCCGAGGGUGUUGCCGGAGCUCUGGAACGCCUCCAAACCUGCUGCAUCGGUGCCGAAUCCGACGACCUGGGC